Molecule: non-coding RNA, 1546 nt
Organism: Tetranychus urticae (two-spotted spider mite)
Lineage: Eukaryota; Metazoa; Arthropoda; Arachnida; Trombidiformes; Tetranychidae
Source: RefSeq, a predicted model, not a curated record
AAAUCAUUUUCCUUUGUCUUCUGACAACUUAUCUGCACAAAACCUUCAUCAUGUGUAAACAUUAUAAGAUGAUUUGUUUUACGAAAAAAACAAUCGCCUAUCCAUGACCACUUCAAAUGCCCAUCAUUAAUUUAAGCAAAUGAAUCUGAUGUUGAUGAUGACUAUUAUCAAUGGAUUAAAUGUUAGUGAUGGAAACAAGCAAAUGAAUUUUUCGCUCUACAUUUCAAAAGGCAUUCAAAUGUCUUUAGGCUGAUGAUGCAAAAGAUAGUUGCCGUUGAAAAGAGGAUCACUUUUAUUGAAUCAAAUGGAUUGAAAAUAUUGCAUCAAAAAACAUUAAAUUGCUCCGUUAACCCUGGCUUCAUUGGAAAGGUUGGCAUGUUGAUUUGAUCUUCUUGAUUAUGUGUAUAAAGAGCGUAACAGAUGAUGAAAGCAAUUGGUCUUAGCAGCGUUUACCAGUCAAAUAUAUGCGUUUUCAUUUAUUAUUAUUAUUGUAAUUUAGAACCAGCAAUAAUCGAGUUUUAUCUUUAUCAUACUUAAUGGAGGAAAGGUUCACUUGGGAUCCAAGACAAGCCAUUCAAUUAUCUCACAGUCAAAGGUCAGGUUUGACCAAGUCCCUUGUGAACCUGACAGUAACUCAUUAACACAACAGAUCAGCGUAAUCAAGACAACACAAAUGACAAUCAACCAGUUAGAUGAUAUCAUAUUUUCCCUGACAAGUAGUGACACUGACAUUUCAUGAUAACUCAAACCCAAGCCAUUGAAAUCAUCGCAUCAAUUAUCAACAAUCAAACAACAAGCUUCAUUGCUACAAGUGACUAGAACUGUUAAACAUCUAAAUUGUUAGUUGUCUUACAAUUUCUGAUGUUUCAUUCAAAUCAUUUUUUAACACUCACCAGUGAUUAAAAUUUACUUCACAAAUUAUAAGCUUUCAAAUGAAACCUUGAUCUUUAGAUUAAUUACAAUUUAAACUCAAGUGUUGCGGAAGAUUCAUCAAACCCAAGCUAACCAGCUCUAAGCAUUGAAAAUGAAAGUUUUUAAAUUCAAUCAUUUUUUCCUCAAAAAGUCAUGAUUAAAUUUCAUUUUGUUUUCAAUCUUAACAAAUAACGAUAAUCAAAUUUUAACCUAUCUAAUUACAUUGUAUGAUUUAAAUUGUAACUUGAGAUUUUGUUUCAAUUAUCAAUUUCUUUCACCUCUAAUUGAUAGUUUAUUUGAUUGCCUUGAUUGUUGCUGUUUCUGUUGGCGUUGGUGUCAGAAAAGAUUGUAAAAGUCAAUUGUUAGCAAAAAUGUUGAUAAAUGCAUGAUAAAUCAACAUAACUUUACUUCAUGGAAACAUGAAUUUACUUGAUUUUAUACCUUUAACAGUUUAACUCCUUUCUUGUAUUGUACCUUUACCGUAUUAUAAUUGUUGAUUCACCAAAGGGUCAACAAUUUUAACUAAUCAGAACAGCGACAAUUAAGAUCAACAUUACCUGGUAUCAGUGAACUUUGUUACAAUUUGUUAAAUCACUUUCUUCUCCAUUCCCUAUUAAGAUUAUCAUUUGUUUGA